AUCAGUCUUGUUUGGUUGAGGCUGAAUAAUUGCAGAGAACUUGAGAGUCUUCCAAGCAGCAUUUCUCACAUGAAAUCUCUUAAAUACCUUGAUGUUUCUGGAUGCUCAAAGAUUGAGAAGUUUCCAGAAAGUUUGGAGGUUAGGAAGGAGCUAUCUGAUCUUUGUUUGGGUGGCACUGCAAUUAAGGCGCUGCCUGCUUCUAUUUUAAAUCUCACCAGUCUUGUUACUUUGAAGUUGAAUGAUUGCAGAGAACUUGAGAGUCUUCCAAGCAUCAUUUCUCACAUGAAAUCUCUUGGAUACCUUGAUGUUUCUGGAUGCUCAAAGAUUGAGAAGUUUCCAGAAAUUUUGGAGGUUAUGAAGGAGCUAUCUAUUCUUUGUUUGGGUGGCACUGCAAUUAAGGAGCUGCCUGCUUCUAUUUUAAAUCUCACCAGUCUUGAUACUUUGAAACUGAAUGAUUGCAGAGAACUUGAGAGUCUUCCAAGCAUCAUUUCUCACAUGAAAUCUCUUAAAUACCUUGAUGUUUCUGGAUGCUCAAAGCUUGAGAAGUUUCCAGAAAUUUUGGAGGUUAUGAAGAAGCUAUCUGAGCUUUGUUUGGGUGGCACUGCAAUUAAGAAGCUGCCUGCUUCUAUUUUAAAUCUCACCAGUCUUGGUAGGUUGAGGCUGAAUAAUUGCAGAGAACUUGAGAGUCUUCCAAGCAGCAUUUCUCACAUGAAAUCUCUUAAAUACCUUGAUGUUUCUGGAUGCUCAAAGCUUGAAAAGUUUCCAGAAAUUUUGGAGGUUAGGAAGAAGCUAUCUGAGCUUUGUUUGGGUGGCACUGCAAUUAAGGAGCUGCCUGCUUCUAUUUUAAAUCUCAUCAGUCUUGUUAGGUUGAGGCUGAAUAAUUGCAGAGAACUUGAGAGUCUUCCAAGCAGCAUUUCUCACAUGAAAUCUCUUAAAUACCUUGAUGUUUCUGGAUGCUCAAAGAUUGAGAAGUUUCCAGAAAUUUUGGAGGUUAGGAAGGAGCUAUCUGAUCUUUGUUUGGGUGGCACUGCAAUUAAGGAGCUGCCUGCUUCUAUUUUAAAUCUCACCAGUCUUGUUACUUUGAAUUUGAAUGAUUGCAGAGAACUUGAGAGUCUUCCAAGCAGCAUUUCUCACAUGAAAUCUCUUGAGUACCUUGAUGUUUCUGGAUGCUCAAAGAUUGAGAAGUUUCCAGAAAUUUUGGAGGUUAGGAACGUGCUAUCUAAGCUUUGUUUGGGUGGCACUGCAAUUAAGGAGCUGC
Molecule: long non-coding RNA, 1258 nt
Filed under: Malus domestica (apple)
Lineage: Eukaryota; Viridiplantae; Streptophyta; Magnoliopsida; Rosales; Rosaceae
Description: long non-coding RNA (MDOM_LNC018186)
Source: RNAcentral